Molecule: ribosomal RNA, 590 nt
Filed under: Hemicriconemoides parataiwanensis
Lineage: Eukaryota; Metazoa; Nematoda; Chromadorea; Rhabditida; Criconematidae
Description: SSU rRNA
Rfam family: Eukaryotic small subunit ribosomal RNA
Source: RNAcentral
CUGACCGUAAACGAUGCCAACUAGCGAUCCGACGGCGGCUUUCAGGCCCUGUUGGGGAGCUUCCCGGAAACGAAAGUCUUCCGGUUCCGGGGGAAGUAUGGUUGCAAAGCUGAAACUUAAAGGAAUUGACGGAAGGGCACCACCAGGAGUGGAGCCUGCGGCUUAAUUUGACUCAACACGGGAAAACUCACCCGGCCCGGACACCGUGAGGAUUGACAGAUUGAUAGCUUUUUCAUGAUUCGGUGGUUGGUGGUGCAUGGCCGUUCUUAGUUCGUGGAUCGAUUUGUCUGGUUUAUUCCGAUAACGAGCGAGACUCCAGCCUACUAACUAGUGCGGGCGUUGUCACUGCGCUUGUCACUUCUUAGAGGGAUUGGCUGCGCCUAGCGGCACGAAACGGAGCAAUAACAGGUCUGUGAUGCCCUUAGAUGUCCGGGGCUGCACGCGCGCUACACUGGCAAAGGCAGCGUGCUUGUCCGCCUCCGAAAGGAGCCGGUAAACCCUUGAAAAUUUGCCGUGAUUGGGAUCGGAAAUUGCAAUUAUUUUCCGUGAACGAGGAAUUCCUAGUAAGUGCGAGUCAUCAGCUCGCGUUG